This 76-nucleotide transfer RNA is filed under the name Magnetococcales bacterium. RNAcentral describes it as "tRNA-Thr". It matches the Rfam family "tRNA". From Rfam's summary of the family: Transfer RNA (tRNA) molecules are approximately 80 nucleotides in length. Their secondary structure includes four short double-helical elements and three loops (D, anti-codon, and T loops). Further hydrogen bonds mediate the characteristic L-shaped molecular structure. tRNAs have two regions of fundamental functional importance: the anti-codon, which is responsible for specific mRNA codon recognition, and the 3' end, to which the tRNAs corresponding amino acid is attached (by aminoacyl-tRNA synthetases). tRNAs cope with the degeneracy of the genetic code in two manners: having more than one tRNA (with a specific anti-codon) for a particular amino acid; and 'wobble' base-pairing, i.e. permitting non-standard base-pairing at the 3rd anti-codon position. Lineage: Bacteria; Pseudomonadati; Pseudomonadota; Magnetococcia; Magnetococcales. The record is from RNAcentral.
GCUGGCGUAGCUCAACUGGCAGAGCAACGGAUUUGUAAUCCGUAGGUUCGGGGUUCGAUUCCCCGCGCCAGCUCCA